UAAGGAAUAUUGGUCAAUGGAGGCAACUCUGAACCAGCCGUGCCGCGUGCAGGAUGAAGGCCCUAUGGGUCGUAAACUGCUUUUAUACCAGAGAAAACCCCAGUACGUGUACUGGGUUGAUAGUAUGGUAAGAAUAAGCAUCGGCUAACUUCGUGCCAGCAGCCGCGGUAAGACGAAGGAUGCAAGCGUUAUCCGGAUUCAUUGGGUUUAAAGGGUGCGUAGGCGGACUUGUAAGUCAGUGGUGAAAUCUCUCAGCUUAACUGAGAAACUGCCAUUGAUACUGCAGGUCUAGAGUAUAGAUGACGUUGGCGGAAUAUGACAUGUAGUGGUGAAAUACUUAGAUAUGUCAUAGAACACCGAUUGCGAAGGCAGCUAACGAAACUAUAACUGACGCUGAGGCACGAAAGUGCGGGGAUCAAACAGGAUUAGAUACCCCCGUAGUCCCUGAGCGGGCUGGCAAGGCGCAU
RNAcentral lists this ribosomal RNA (467 nucleotides) under uncultured bacterium. RNAcentral describes it as "bacterial SSU rRNA". It matches the Rfam family "Bacterial small subunit ribosomal RNA", at positions 355 to 825 of the family's 1533-position model. The record is from RNAcentral.